AGGGCACCACCAGGAGUGGAGCCUGCGGCUUAAUUUGACUCAACACGGGAAAACUCACCCGGCCCGGACACUGGAAGGAUUGACAGAUUGAGAGCUCUUUCUUGAUUCAGUGGGUGGUGGUGCAUGGCCGUUCUUAGUUGGUGGAGUGAUUUGUCUGGUUAAUUCCGAUAACGAACGAGACUCUAGCCUACUAAAUAGAUCGUCGGCUUACAAACGCCGGCGAGACUUCUUAGAGGGACAGGCGGUGAUUCAACCGCACGAAACAGAGCAAUAACAGGUCUGUGAUGCCCUUAGAUGUCCGGGGCCGCACGCGCGCUACACUGAAGUGAUCAGCGUGCUUUUUCAACCUACUCUGUCAAGAGUGGGGAACCCAAUGAACCUUCUUCGUGAUUGGGAUAGGGGAUUGUAAUUAUUCCCCUUGAACGAGGAAUUCCCAGUAAGCGCGAGUCAUAAGCUCGCGUUGAUUACGUCCCUGCCCUUUGUACACACCGGCCCGUCGCUACUACCGAUUGAAUGUUU
Molecule: ribosomal RNA, 519 nt
Filed under: uncultured eukaryote
Lineage: Eukaryota
Description: SSU rRNA
Rfam family: Eukaryotic small subunit ribosomal RNA
Source: RNAcentral